Molecule: ribosomal RNA, 198 nt
Filed under: uncultured bacterium
Lineage: Bacteria
Description: partial 16S ribosomal RNA
Rfam family: Bacterial small subunit ribosomal RNA
Source: RNAcentral
ACGCUCGACACCUACGGGAGGUAGCAGUGGGGAAUAUUGCACAAUGGGGGAAACCCUGAUGCAGCGACGCCGCGUGGAGGAAGAAGGUCUUCGGAUUGUAAACUCCUGUUGUUGGGGAAAAAGAGGAUGGUACCCAACAAGGAAGUGACGGCUAACUACGUGGCAGCAGCCGCGGUAAUCUGAGCGGGCUGGCAAGGC